GAUAAACGCUGGCGGCGCACAUAAGACAUGCAAGUCGAACGAACUUAACCUUUAGUUUACUAAUGGAGCGGUUAGUGGCGGACUGGUGAGUAACGCGUAAGCAAUCUGCCUAUCAGAGUGGAAUAACAGUGAGAAAUCAUUGCUAAUACCGCAUAUGCUGUGAGUAUCGCAUGAUACAAACAGGAAAGGAGCAAUCCGCUGAUAGAUGAGCUUGCGUCUGAUUAGUUAGUUGGUGAGGUAAUGGCUCACCAAGACGAUGAUCAGUAGCCGGACUGAGAGGUUGAACGGCCACAUUGGGACUGAGAUACGGCCCAGACUCCUACGGGAGGCAGCAGUCGGGAAUAUUGCGCAAUGGAGGAAACUCUGACGCAGUGACGCCGCGUGCAGGAAGAAGGUUUUCGGAUUGUAAACUGCUUUAGACAGGGAAGAAAAUGACAGUACCUGUAGAAUAAGCUCCGGCUAACUACGUGCCAGCAGCCGCGGUAAUACGUAGGGAGCGAGCGUUAUCCGGAAUUAUUGGGUGUAAAGGGUGCGUAGACGGGCCAGCAAGUUAGUUGUGAAAUCCCUCGGCUUAACUGAGGAACUGCAGCUAAAACUACUAGUCUUGAGUAUUGGAGAGGAAAGUGGAAUUCCUAGUGUAGCGGUGAAAUGCGUAGAUAUUAGGAGGAACACCAGUGGCGAAGGCGACUUUCUGGACAAUUACUGACGUUGAGGCACGAAAGUGUGGGGAGCAAACAGGAUUAGAUACCCUGGUAGUCCACACUGUAAACGAUGGAUACUAGGUGUAGGUUGUUAUAAGCAAUCUGUGCCGUCGCAAACGCAGUAAGUAUCCCACCUGGGGAGUACGACCGCAAGGUUGAAACUCAAAGGAAUUGACGGGGACCCGCACAAGCGGUGGAGCAUGUGGUUUAAUUCGAAGCAACGCGAAGAACCUUACCUGGUCUUGACAUCCUUCUGACAAAGUAUGUAAUGUACUCUUCCUUCGGGACAGAAGUGACAGGUGGUGCAUGGUUGUCGUCAGCUCGUGUCGUGAGAUGUUGGGUUAAGUCCCGCAACGAGCGCAACCCUUAUCUUUAGUAGCCAGCAGUUCGGCUGGGCACUCUAGAGAGACUGCCAGGGAUAACCUGGAGGAAGGUGGGGAUGACGUCAAAUCAUCAUGCCCCUUAUGAUCAGGGCUACACACGUGCUACAAUGGCGUAAACAAAGGGAAGCAAUCACGUGAGUGUGAGCAAAUCUCAAAAAUAACGUCUCAGUUCGGAUUGUAGUCUGCAACUCGACUACAUGAAGCUGGAAUCGCUAGUAAUCGCGAAUCAGAAUGUCGCGGUGAAUACGUUCCCGGGUCUUGUACACACCGCCCGUCACACCAUGGGAGUCAGUAACGCCCGAAGUCAGUGACCCAACCGCAAGGAGGGAGCUGCCGAAGGUGGGACCGAUAACUGGGGUG
This 1444-nucleotide ribosomal RNA is filed under the name uncultured Lachnospiraceae bacterium. RNAcentral describes it as "partial 16S ribosomal RNA". It matches the Rfam family "Bacterial small subunit ribosomal RNA". The record is from RNAcentral. Lineage: Bacteria; Bacillati; Bacillota; Clostridia; Lachnospirales; Lachnospiraceae.